AACGCGAAGAACCUUACCUGGGCUCGAAAUGUUACGGACCAGCCUGUGAAAGCAGGCCUUCCCGCAAGGGACCGUAGUAUAGGUGCUGCAUGGCUGUCGUCAGCUCGUGUCGUGAGAUGUUGGGUUAAGUCCCGCAACGAGCGCAACCCUUGUCCUGUGUUGCCAUACCGAAAGGUGGAACUCGCAGGAGACCGCCAGGGAUAACCUGGAGGAAGGUGGGGAUGACGUCAAGUCCUCAUGGCCUUUAUGUCCAGGGCUACACACGUGCUACAAUGGACGGUACAAAGGGCUGCCAACCCGCGAGGGGGAGCCAAUCCCAAAAAACCGUUCUCAGUUCGGAUUGCAGGCUGCAACUCGCCUGCAUGAAGCUGGAAUCGCUAGUAAUGGCGGAUCAGAACGCCGCCGUGAAUACGUUCCCGGGCCUUGUA
This 428-nucleotide ribosomal RNA is filed under the name uncultured Acidobacterium sp. RNAcentral describes it as "bacterial SSU rRNA". It matches the Rfam family "Bacterial small subunit ribosomal RNA", at positions 958 to 1385 of the family's 1533-position model. The record is from RNAcentral. Lineage: Bacteria; Pseudomonadati; Acidobacteriota; Terriglobia; Terriglobales; Acidobacteriaceae.